GGGCCCGCACAAGCGGUGGAGCAUGUGGUUUAAUUCGACGCAACGCGAAGAACCUUACCAGCUCUUGACAUUGCUAAGUCGCGAGUUUUAGAGAUAAAACUCUUCAGUUAGGCUGGACUUAGUACAGGUGCUGCAUGGCUGUCGUCAGCUCGUGUCGUGAGGUGUCAGUUAAGUCCUAUAACGAGCGCAACCCCUGUUGUUAGUUGCCAGCGAGUCAUGUCGGGAACUCUAACAAGACUGCCGGUGCAAACCGUGAGGAAGGUGGGGAUGACGUCAAAUCAUCACGGCCCUUACGUCCUGGGCUACACACGUGCUACAAUGGUCGGUACAGAGAGCAGCCACUACGCGAGUAGGAGCGAA
This 360-nucleotide ribosomal RNA is filed under the name uncultured bacterium. RNAcentral describes it as "bacterial SSU rRNA". It matches the Rfam family "Bacterial small subunit ribosomal RNA", at positions 917 to 1271 of the family's 1533-position model. The record is from RNAcentral.